This is a non-coding RNA of Zootoca vivipara (common lizard), 271 nucleotides long. NCBI's taxonomy places the organism in Eukaryota, Metazoa, Chordata, Lepidosauria, Squamata, Lacertidae. The record is from RefSeq and is a predicted model, not a curated record.
AGACUGGCCAGGAGAGGCCAGUGUGAAAAUAGAAGGAAUGUCCAGCUUCUUCUUGAUGUCUGCUUGAUGGAGAAAUUCGUGUCUGCAUUGCUCCUUCUUGUGGAUGAGAAAUAAGUGAAGAACAUGAUAUUCAUGUCUGAUCAAUUAUACACGAGAGACAAGACGACUAAUAGUGAUCACUGGAAGAAGAACAAUGGCUCUUGUCAUCACCUCAGUUAAGCAGAGUUCAAGGGAAUACGCGUCUCUUAAAAAAAAAAGGAAUUCCCACACG